RNAcentral lists this ribosomal RNA (252 nucleotides) under uncultured bacterium. RNAcentral's name for it is "partial 16S ribosomal RNA". It matches the Rfam family "Bacterial small subunit ribosomal RNA", at positions 524 to 776 of the family's 1533-position model. The record is from RNAcentral.
UACGUAGGUCCCGAGCGUUGUCCGGAUUUAUUGGGCGUAAAGCGAGCGCAGGUGGUUUAUUAAGUCUGGUGUAAAAGGCAGUGGCUCAACCAUUGUAUGCAUUGGAAACUGGUAGACUUGAGUGCAGGAGAGGAGAGUGGAAUUCCAUGUGUAGCGGUGAAAUGCGUAGAUAUAUGGAGGAACACCGGUGGCGAAGGCGACUUACUGGACUGUAACUGACGUUGAGGCACGAAAGUGUGGGGAGCAAACAGG